This 460-nucleotide ribosomal RNA is filed under the name uncultured bacterium. RNAcentral describes it as "partial 16S ribosomal RNA". It matches the Rfam family "Bacterial small subunit ribosomal RNA", at positions 338 to 795 of the family's 1533-position model. The record is from RNAcentral.
CCUACGGGCGGCAGCAGUGAGGAAUAUUGGUCAAUGGGCGAGAGCCUGAACCAGCCAAGUCGCGUGAAGGAUGAAGGAUCUAUGGUUUGUAAACUUCUUUUAUAUGGGAAUAAAGUGAGGAACGUGUUCCUUUUUGUAUGUACCAUAUGAAUAAGCAUCGGCUAACUCCGUGCCAGCAGCCGCGGUAAUACGGAGGAUGCGAGCGUUAUCCGGAUUUAUUGGGUUUAAAGGGUGCGUUGGUGGGUAAUUAAGUCAGUGGUGAAAGUUUGUGGCUCAACCAUAAAAUUGCCGUUGAAACUGGUUGUCUUGAGUAUAGUUGAGGUAGGCGGAAUGCGUGGUGUAGCGGUGAAAUGCAUAGAUAUCACGCAGAACUCCGAUUGCGAAGGCAGCUUACUAAACUAUAACUGACACUGAAGCACGAAAGUGUGGGGAUCAAACAGGAUUAGAUACCCUAGUAGUC